UACGUAGGGUGCAAGCGUUGUCCGGAAUUAUUGGGCGUAAAGAGCGCGUAGGCGGCCUUGAUAGUUGGGCGUGAAAGGCCUGGGCUUAACCCAGGAACUGCGUUCAAUACUGUAAGGCUAGAGUGUGGGAGAGGUUGGUGGAAUUCCCAGUGUAGAGGUGAAAUUCGUAGAUAUUGGGAAGAACACCGGUGGCGAAGGCGGCCAACUGGACCACAACUGACGCUGAGGCGCGAAAGCGUGGGGAGCAAACAGG
This 253-nucleotide ribosomal RNA is filed under the name uncultured bacterium. RNAcentral describes it as "partial 16S ribosomal RNA". It matches the Rfam family "Bacterial small subunit ribosomal RNA", at positions 524 to 776 of the family's 1533-position model. The record is from RNAcentral.